CAUUUGUUACUUUUUUUUCAUUACAGAGCAAUGCUGAUGACACUGGACAUGUGACCCAAUCUUUGGGAGGUGUCUCAACAACUUUGAAAUGCUGGGCUCCAAAAGACGGCGGCCGGGAAUAAGCUCCCCUAUUUGCAUUCUCCUGCGUUUGACGAGACGCCAAAUCAUCAUACACAUGGCACUGAAAUCUUGGCACAUUAGCAGGAGAGCCUCCAGCUGUUGUUUGACAGAGUCGAGGUAGUUGUGCCCUUUUUCUUUAUCGUAUGUUCAACAUUUUUACACAUUCGUAGACUUGAGGGCAUUGAUUUCUUCUUGCCCUUGUUGUACAUGUCGACAACAUAGCUGAAAACUUUUCUUUUAAGUUCGUCCCUGUCUUGCAUAGCUUUCUCAUAUAAACUAAAAUAUGCAAAGUCCCCCCUAGAUAAUUCCUGUGGAUCAUUCAGAAAAAAGUUCCAGCGCCACUACGAUGGCGAAGAGAGUCGGCUUCGUUGUAGCAUUGAACUGACAAAGGAGAACCAGUAUAGAGCUGAAGAUCUCUCCCACCUCAUCUUCCAUGAUUUGAAAGAAAUCAGGCCUUCACCUGAUUCUCUGGAGAAGUUCAGGCCCAUGUUAACCCAUCUGUAAAAAAAUUGCAAAAUUUCUUUGAAGCUCCACUUGUGCAUCCUCUCCCAAAAACAAAGUUGCACUUAUGUAUAUAGCCGAAUAUUUCUAUUCUAGUGCCCACGUGCAUGUAAUGUUUUUGCUUAUGAAUGUGUGUUUUUAUUGGUGUCGUCCAACCAAACAUAUCCUGAAAUAUCUGUGGUGCUUCAAUGAUGCUUGGCUUGUAUGCUACCUUCUGUAAUUCAACAUGUUUU
Lolium rigidum is the source of this 854-nucleotide long non-coding RNA. RefSeq lists it as uncharacterized. NCBI's taxonomy places the organism in Eukaryota, Viridiplantae, Streptophyta, Magnoliopsida, Poales, Poaceae. The transcript is spliced from 3 exons. The record is from RefSeq and is a predicted model, not a curated record.